GACGAACGCUGGCGGCGUGCUUAACACAUGCAAGUCGAACGGUGAAGCGCCUUCCUUUUUGGUGGGUGUGGAUGAGUGGCGAACGGGUGAGUAACACGUGAGUAACCUGCCCCCUUCUUCUGGAUAACCGCAUGAAAGUGUGGCUAAUACGGGAUAUUCUGGGUCUGUCGCAUGAUGGGUCUGGGAAAGAUAUUGUUUCGGUGGGGGAUGGGCUCGCGGCCUAUCAGCUUGUUGGUGGGGUGAUGGCCUACCAAGGCGGUGACGGGUAGCCGGCCUGAGAGGGUGGACGGUCACACUGGGACUGAGACACGGCCCAGACUCCUACGGGAGGCAGCAGUGGGGAAUAUCGCACAAUGGGCGCAAGCCUGAUGCAGCGACGCCGCGUGAGGGAUGGAGGCCUGCGGGUUGUGAACCUCUUUCGCCAGUGAAGCAGGCCUGCCUCGUUUGUGGGUGGGUUGACGGUAGCUGGAUAAGAAGCGCCGGCUAACUACGUG
RNAcentral lists this ribosomal RNA (494 nucleotides) under uncultured bacterium. RNAcentral's name for it is "partial 16S ribosomal RNA". It matches the Rfam family "Bacterial small subunit ribosomal RNA", at positions 28 to 507 of the family's 1533-position model. The record is from RNAcentral.